UACGUAGGGUCCGAGCGUUGUCCGGAAUUAUUGGGCGCAAAGGGCUCGUAGGCGGUUUGUCACGUCGGGCGUGAAAACUCAGGGCUCAACCCUGAGCGUGCGUUCGAUACGGGCAGACUAGAGGUAUGCAGGGGAGAACGGAAUUCCUGGUGUAGCGGUGGAAUGCGCAGAUAUCAGGAGGAACACCGGUGGCGAAGGCGGUUCUCUGGGCAUUACCUGACGCUGAGGAGCGAAAGCAUGGGGAGCGAACAGG
This 253-nucleotide ribosomal RNA is filed under the name uncultured bacterium. Its description in RNAcentral is "partial 16S ribosomal RNA". It matches the Rfam family "Bacterial small subunit ribosomal RNA", at positions 524 to 776 of the family's 1533-position model. The record is from RNAcentral.